GCUGGUGCUCCGAGAAAUAGAGAAUCGGGCAAAGUUCCUGUCCUGUGGAGCUGACCGUCGGAAAAAUCCUCUACACACAAAGAAGGCUGGCAGAAUAGCAGCUGAUCCUCAGUGGGAGCUCAAAGAGCGAAGGGAGCCCAACUAGAAAGACAUUCCAAAAAUGGCUGCAUGGUAUUUAGAGAUCUGGGUACCAGCUGCACUGUGCACAUAUUUGCAGAGGCUUCUGUUCAGCUAAGAAUGGGCUGUGGAUUCAGGAAGCUUAAUCAAAGCGGUGGCUCAGAAGUAACUGUUCAGUCUCCAGCAAAGCAGAUGAGAAAUGCAAUUGGUCUCAACCAGAUGAACCAGGUGCUCUUCGAUCUCUGAGCCUUCUAAUGAUCUUGCAAUGAUACUGGCUUCCUCAGGAGAAACAGUCGGUUUUGGGGAACAAUUUCAGAAAGACUCAGCUGCCGUUUUCAGAAGUGAUCUAGCACCAACUUCUUAAUGUCGUUUGGGUACUUACCGCUGCAGUUAGAUACACGGUGGGGUUUUCAGAGCUGUGUAGCCUCCUGCCACCUUGGGUGCCCGUGGUAAAUUUUUUCACCCUUUGUGAGUCACUUCUGUCUCAUUUCUGAUUCACUGCUACAGCAGAGCCAUGUCCGAGUGCCCGGGGAGGCUCCCUUAGUUUGACCCCAGCUUGACCAAUGUGUUUGGCCCCAUCACUCAGGGUCAUUUCUCUCUUAGACACUCCUUACUAUGUGGCCUCACUAGCAUUUUCCCUGGUUUUCAGGAACACCAGCCACAUGUGCUACCCUUCCACAACAGAAGGACCUCAUCCUCAAAGCCUGUGUUAAUCCCUUCAUUUCCCCUUGUUCAAGCACACUCUUUCCCAGAGGUCCAGCCUUGUUCAGCAGGAGGGUAUCUAUUCAAAAGAGGUCCUUUAGGUUUGUCUAAAACUAUUAACAACAGACCUGGACAAAACAAUAAAUGAGGAAACCUGCAUUGGUUUCCUCACUGCUCUACAGUGUAUUGUGGGUCUUGGUCAGCAUCUUUGAGAUGUCCAGGUUUCCCUCAGCUCAUGGCUUCUCCCCCAGGUUAUACAGUCUCUCUUACUCCUGCCAACAUUUUGUUGUUCUUUUUCCAGACUGAUUGGUGAGGGACUGUCAUCUCUCAUCUCCUUUGUCACAUAUGUCCUUCAUCAGGUCUGUCCAUCAGUGCUAUCAGACAAUCCCAGCCUUCCACUAGACAAUUAAUUCCCACCUCUUUGAAGUCUGCACUUGAAAAAUUGUUUUCCUGAAUGGUAACCAUCUCUUUUUUCCCAGUAGUCCUCCAUUUGAAUAGAUGAGCAUCAGAGUUUAGCAGCCCUCCCUUCUAGUCCUGGAUAAGAUGGAAGAAUUUAUCCUGUCACACGGUGUGGGUUUUAUCUCCACAUAGGGACAGGGAAGCAACUAACUCCCACACUCAGAUCAAAUUUUAAGUCUGAAAUGAGUAAAUAUGUAAAAUGCAAGUCCCUAACACUGAAUUUGCAAAAUCUCUGUAGACUUUCUAAAUUAUUUCAGGCUAGUUUACUGAAAUUAAAUUACAUAAAAGUCAUACAAAACAGCACAACGUUAUGUAAAACUCUACAAAACAAGUGCUGUGAUUUUAACUGAGUUGAACAAAUAAAACAUUAAGUGUAAUUUUUGUUCAGGGCCAUGUGUUAGCUUUUGAAAACAAAAAGGAAAUAAAUGAACCAAGUCACACAAAACAUAUGUCUGCAGAAUAAUGAUAAAACAUAUACUGUAUCUGGACAACUUGUAAGUGUGGUUUUAAUUCUUGCUGCUGUUGUGGCUGGAGGCUUUUGCUGUGCAAAAAAGGCUACACUGUGUUCAUAUUAAAGUACAGAAUGUUUUUUAUUCCUACUGCAUCAGGAAUAAUGUAAUCCUCUUGCGAUAAUGUGGUGGGUUCUGAGUCCUUCAGCUGAGACACCUUCCUGGGGAGAGCUAGAAACUUUGCAGAAAGACACCGUUCAGUCCUGCUGACUGUCUGUGAUACAAGUUACCUAUCAACCUACCUAGGAUAUGAAGGAGACUGGCUUUGCCUUUGGUGUACAAAACCCUAAAAUUUGAGACUAAGAAGUCCAAAGGAAGGGUCAGCGUGUGACCAGCUGAAUUUAAGCAGUCUGAUACCAGAAUUUCUGUCACUAUGCUCUUGGAGUUGUUUCGUUAAAAAAGCCGUAUGGGAAGCAGUGCGUUUCUGUUCUCCCUAUCAAGUGCAGACUGCAUUUUGGGAAGAGAGGCUGUGGUGGUGACUCUGACUAUGCCAGGAACACUCUCUUGCAAUAUAUGGGAUAGAAAGGCACUUGCCUCUCUUGGCAUGUAAUGAUUCAUGCCAGGAUGAACCAAAAAGGCAUGGUCAGAGGUAUUAACAAGGUCCCUUUGGUAGCUAAAGAUCUGUCUAUUCCCCAGAUUCAUCAUUGCCUUACCAUCUGUCAUCCUAUCAUCUGCCUGAACUUGUCUUCCACAGCGGCUACGCCAUCCUGAACCCUGGCUCCCAUGGAUUGCUUCUUGGAGCACAAGUACCAUACCUUGCAAUUCUGCUGUUGCAUCUUUGACAUUCUCAGGGCAGUGCAGUUGUGGUGCAUUUCUGUCAGUGUUCAGGGCAUGGGCCAAGAGUAUAACAUCUUAAUUAGUUUUUUCUUGUUGAGCAUGAUUUCAUAUUGUAGGUACAUGUGUUUAGCUGUCAGCUUGAUUCUUGCAACAAAAGGAAAAACAAAGCAGUAAUAAAUAGAGAAGUUGCACAAGCCACUCUUUAAAUAAUGGCAUUGGGUGGAACAUGUGAAAUAAGAGCUGUGGCUACAAAGCAGAUUACUGCUUCCUAUUCCUCCUAUGAACAUGAUAUAAAUUAUAGCUGUUUAAACUGAUGCAGCAACCAAGGAGAAUACUGAAAGCCUGAAGAUGCCUCUGUAUCCCUCCCACUACUCCUGUUCCAGGUUUGUAGACUGAGAAAUACAGAACCGAGCCCCAAGCCUUGUCCUCUUCCACUGAAGAUUGGUUUAGUUCCGGUGUACUGAGCAAAAGCAUUGCGAAUUCACGCUCGUAGUUCCUGAUGUGACAGUCACUCAUGCUGCGUAGGGCUUUGAGGUCUCAAGUCAUGAAGAACUGAGUAAUCAGGCAUUGACUUUUCAGUAUUCUUUUGAAUGGGUGUGGGAAGGGGAUUUCUAAAUACUUAAAGAAAUCAGGCCUUAAAAAUGGAGGCAUGGUAUUCCAAAAAUAUGGAAACAUAGCUUUUAAAAGCCUUCCAUCCUUUCAGGUUUUAAAACUCUUAGUUUAGAUUUAGAAGGUAAUGACUCAUUUUUGCAGCAUUUCAUUGUAUCACAUGAAAUAUCUUUUUUGGUGAAGGCAGGUUAAUGUGACCAGUAGAUGCGUAUUCAUCUGUCAGUACAUUUGAAAUCAAUGAGUAGUUUAAAUGAUUAAUACCAUUCCAGAUUUCUUCAAACAUCAUCAUUUAACAUUAAGCCACAAAUAUCUUCUUUUUAAAACAACAUUUCUUCAGAUGUUUGUUUUUGAAACUGUGGUGGUAUCAUAUACCUGAAAUAUAAAUGCAUUUAGAGUGGCAGAAUGUCCUCAUGGUUUUUUGUAUUAUAAAUGCUUCCAAACAGAUACUGUAAAAUCUAUAUUUUGAAGCCCUGAAUUCCACAGGAUUCCUACAGGUCUGUCCAGAUUAUAUAAAAAAAUGAAAAGAAAUACUGAAUUUUAGUCUUUCCUAUAGAAGUCAUUGACACAACUUCUUCUGACUUCAUUAUUUACAUGCCAGUAUCACAAAAUUCUGGAAAGAAAGAGCAAAAUGAGUUCUUUGGGACAGAGGUAAGAGAGAUAUGAAAUGCCACAUGCCAGAGCAAUUCUCGUAGUCCCCAGCUCACGCUUUGCCAUACUUUUUCCUGGGGACUUCUCUGACUUGGGCAGUGAGUUAUCAUGAUGAUUUAUUCUGAUGCCCCACAGCUGACCCCAAGCUCUCCUCUUUCUGGAGAGCCUCACGUGCCCUUCCUUGUCAUGAGAUCAUACGCGUCUACUGCAGAUGGCAGCAUGUAAGAACAACCUUCUUGCCUCAGAGCAGAAAGGGACAAAAAUGUCAAGCACUAUGGGUGUAUGAGACAAAACCAGUUUCAAACCCAAAAGAUCUUGGUACCUCCAUUUUAGGGUAUUUUAGCUAACUAGACACAUUUGAAACUCUUGUCCCUAACAUGUAUUUUUGCAGAAGUGUCCUACACUUAAUGAUAGUACAGUAGUAAUCCCUAGGACUUUCUUCCUUCACAGAUUGAAGUUAUAACCUCAUUUUGGUUGUGAAUUAACUUGUAUUAUCAUCUAGGGCAAAUAAUGCUCUAGAUCAAAAUGUUACCGACAAAUUUGUUGUUUACUUGAAUCUAAGUCACAUAAACAUGACCUGUGAACUUUUUGAGGAAGAAGCUCCUUUUUCACAUGCAUUUUCCACCAGAAAAACAAGAACUUGGAGAUGAUCUUUUCCACAAUUGUUUGCUUAAUCAUCAACAUC
Molecule: long non-coding RNA, 4506 nt
Organism: Haliaeetus leucocephalus (bald eagle)
Lineage: Eukaryota; Metazoa; Chordata; Aves; Accipitriformes; Accipitridae
Exons: 5
Source: RefSeq, a predicted model, not a curated record